AAGUCGUAACAAGGUAACCGUAGGUGAACCUGCGGUUGGAUCAUUAACAAAUAAUGAAAAACAAACAUUAUGUGAACUGUUUUUGGUAAUUAUAUGGGUGUGCAAUUUUCAGGAAUGGGUGAGCUUUCAACACUCAGCCAUUUCUCCAAAUUUGCCGUUUUCUUCGGAAAGCCUCAUAAGUUACCAACGGUCAAGCUGGUACUUUAUUGUGCCAGCUUGCUCGUUAACCCACCAUUUUAUUUUGUCUGAACUUUAAAGAGCAUUUAUUGAAAGAUACUUGCUAUUUUAAUGAAUAAACAACUUUUGACAACGGAUCUCUUGGCUCUC
Molecule: unclassified non-coding RNA, 327 nt
Filed under: fungal sp.
Lineage: Eukaryota; Fungi
Description: partial internal transcribed spacer region
Rfam family: Eukaryotic small subunit ribosomal RNA (bases 1-46)
Source: RNAcentral